This 379-nucleotide ribosomal RNA is filed under the name uncultured bacterium. RNAcentral's name for it is "bacterial SSU rRNA". It matches the Rfam family "Bacterial small subunit ribosomal RNA", at positions 32 to 401 of the family's 1533-position model. The record is from RNAcentral.
AAUCAACGCUGGCGGCGUGCCUCAGACAUGCAAGUCGAACGAUUAAACUUUCCUUCGGGAAAGAUAUAAAGUGGCGCACGGGUGAGUAACACGUAAGUAAUCUACCUUUGAGUGGGGAAUAACGUUCGGGAAACGGACGCUAAUACCGCAUAAUGCAGCGGCACCGCAAGGUGACAGUUGUUAAAGGAGCAAUUCGCUUAAAGAGGAGCUUGCGGCAGAUUAGCUUGUUGGAAGGUAACGGCUUACCAAGGCUACGAUCUGUAUCCGGUCUAAGAGGACGGUCGGACACACUGACACUGAAUAACGGGUCAGACUCCUACGGGAGGCAGCAGUCGGGAAUUUUGGGCAAUGGGCGAAAGCCUGACCCAGCAACGCCGCG